This is a long non-coding RNA of Malus domestica (apple), 409 nucleotides long. RefSeq lists it as uncharacterized. Lineage: Eukaryota; Viridiplantae; Streptophyta; Magnoliopsida; Rosales; Rosaceae. The record is from RefSeq and is a predicted model, not a curated record.
ACUAGUUGAUGGGGUAAACGACAGUUUACCCAUAAAUAUAUAAUAGACUAAACAUGUAUCUCCAUUUACUCCAACCCUAUCGGCUAGCUUCUCUCUCUCCGCAUACAAAUCUGGAUCUAGAUGCAUCCGGCGCUCUCUCCGGUGGAAUUUUGCCACGGCAAAUUGGCAAAAUUGCACCGGCGCUCUCUCGCACCUUCACAGGCAGUCUCUAUUCUCUUUCUCUCAGUCCCUGAUGCAUCCAGAUCUAGAUGUGGGCAAAAAUCAGCAGCCAACGACCUCCAGAUUCAAUCUCUCAGUCCCUGAUGCAUCCGGAUCUGGACCUUAUAUCAAGCACUCGGAAACCAGAUUCAAUCUCGUUGUUCUUCAUAUUAUUGUGGUUGAUGGAUGGGACGGAAAACCAGAAGAAGGC